Molecule: transfer RNA, 67 nt
Filed under: Marmota monax (woodchuck)
Lineage: Eukaryota; Metazoa; Chordata; Mammalia; Rodentia; Sciuridae
Rfam family: tRNA
About the family: Transfer RNA (tRNA) molecules are approximately 80 nucleotides in length. Their secondary structure includes four short double-helical elements and three loops (D, anti-codon, and T loops). Further hydrogen bonds mediate the characteristic L-shaped molecular structure. tRNAs have two regions of fundamental functional importance: the anti-codon, which is responsible for specific mRNA codon recognition, and the 3' end, to which the tRNAs corresponding amino acid is attached (by aminoacyl-tRNA synthetases). tRNAs cope with the degeneracy of the genetic code in two manners: having more than one tRNA (with a specific anti-codon) for a particular amino acid; and 'wobble' base-pairing, i.e. permitting non-standard base-pairing at the 3rd anti-codon position.
Source: Rfam by way of RNAcentral
GGUUGUAGCUCAGUGGUAAAGCACUUGCCUCGCACGUAUGAGGCACUGGGUUCAAUCCCCAGGACCA